This is a long non-coding RNA of Sinocyclocheilus anshuiensis, 429 nucleotides long. RefSeq lists it as uncharacterized. NCBI's taxonomy places the organism in Eukaryota, Metazoa, Chordata, Actinopteri, Cypriniformes, Cyprinidae. The transcript is spliced from 4 exons. The record is from RefSeq and is a predicted model, not a curated record.
GUGUCAUAUGUGUGUUGAGGUUAGCAUGUCAUAUGUGUGUUGAGAUUAGCGUGUCAUAUGUGUGUUGAGGUUAGCGUGUCAUAUGUGUGUUGAGGUUAGCAUGUCAUAUGUGUGUUGAGGUUAGCGUGUCAUAUGUGUGUUGAGGUUAGCAUGUCAUAUGCGUGUUGAGAUUAGAAUGUCAUAUGCAUGUUGAGGUUAGCGUGUGUGUUGAGGUUAGCGUGUCAUAUGUGUGUUGAGGUUAGCGUGUCAUAUGCGUGUUGAGGUUAGCGUGUCAUAUGCGUGUUGAGGUUAGCGUGUCAUGUGUGUUGAGAUUAGCGUGUCAUGUGUGUUGAGAUUAGCGUGUCAUAUGUGUGUUGAUAUUAGCAUGUCAUAUGUGUGUUUAGGUUAGCGUGUUGAGGUUAGCGUGUAUGUUGAGGUUAGCGUGUCAUG